This 612-nucleotide ribosomal RNA is filed under the name uncultured bacterium. RNAcentral's name for it is "bacterial SSU rRNA". It matches the Rfam family "Bacterial small subunit ribosomal RNA", at positions 224 to 828 of the family's 1533-position model. The record is from RNAcentral.
GAUGGACCCGCGGUGCAUUAGCUAGUUGGUAAGGUAAUGGCUUACCAAGGCGACGAUGCAUAGCCGAGUUGAGAGACUGAUCGGCCACAUUGGGACUGAGACACGGCCCAAACUCCUACGGGAGGCAGCAGUAGGGAAUCUUCCACAAUGGGCGAAAGCCUGAUGGAGCAACGCCGCGUGAGUGAAGAAGGUUUUCGGAUCGUAAAGCUCUGUUGUUGGUGAAGAAGGAUAGAGGUAGUAACUGGCCCCUAUUUGACGGUAAUCAACCAGAAAGUCACGGCUAACUACGUGCCAGCAGCCGCGGUAAUACGUAGGUGGCAAGCGUUGUCCGGACUUAUUGGGCGUAAAGCGAGCGCAGGCGGAAAGAUAAGUCUGAUGUGAAAGCCCCCGGCUUAACCGAGGAAUUGCAUCGGAAACUGUGUUUCUUGAGUGCAGAAGAGGAGAGUGGAACUCCAUGUGUAGCGGUGGAAUGCGUAGAUAUAUGGAAGAACACCAGUGGCGAAGGCGGCUCUCUGGUCUGUAACUGACGCUGAGGCUCGAAAGCAUGGGUAGCGAACAGGAUUAGAUACCCUGGUAGUCCAUGCCGUAAACGAUGCGUGAUAAGUGUUGGGA